GACGAACGCUGGCGGCGUGCUUAACACAUGCAAGUCGAACGGAAAGGCCCUGCUUGCAGGGUACUCGAGUGGCGAACGGGUGAGUAACACGUGGGUGAUCUGCCCUGCACUUCGGGAUAAGCCUGGGAAACUGGGUCUAAUACCGGAUAGGAGCCAUUUUUAGUGUGAUGGUUGGAAAGUUUUUUCGGUGUAGGAUGAGCUCGCGGCCUAUCAGCUUGUUGGUGGGGUAAUGGCCUACCAAGGCGGCGACGGGUAGCCGGCCUGAGAGGGUGGACGGCCACAUUGGGACUGAGAUACGGCCCAGACGCCGACGGGAGGCAGCAGUGGGGAAUAUUGCACAAUGGGCGCAAGCCUGAUGCAGCGACGCCGCGUGGGGGAGGACGGCCUUCGGGUUGUAAACUCCUUUCGCUAGGGACGAAGCUUUUUGUGACGGUACCUAGAUAAGAAGCACCGGCUAACUACGUG
This 465-nucleotide ribosomal RNA is filed under the name uncultured bacterium. RNAcentral describes it as "partial 16S ribosomal RNA". It matches the Rfam family "Bacterial small subunit ribosomal RNA", at positions 28 to 507 of the family's 1533-position model. The record is from RNAcentral.